Molecule: long non-coding RNA, 271 nt
Filed under: Phaseolus vulgaris (common bean)
Lineage: Eukaryota; Viridiplantae; Streptophyta; Magnoliopsida; Fabales; Fabaceae
Description: long non-coding RNA (PVUL_LNC004896)
Source: RNAcentral
UCUACCCAUAUAGUCAUUGACACUUUUAAUCUGUCCACUAAUAAUGCACUUUUUUAUUUUAUUUUUUUAAUUGGACUUUGCUUUUAUCUGUUUAUACUGCUUUUCUUUUGCUAUGUUUUGCCUUGUAAUUUUUUUUCUUCUAUUUUGACACGUCCUGCAACAUUGUACUUAACAAACAUAACAUACAAAGCUCAAAGAUCACCAUUAUUUAUAUUUUACUUAAUUUGUAAUUUUGAAAUAUACUUAAUCUACUUGUACAUUAUUUAGAUAA